ACAGCAGCCUGCAAAAAAAUAGGAAUGCACGUCAGAAAAACAAAAGAAGAAAAAAGAAGAUGAAAGACAACAGAAAAAUAACAGAAAAAGGUUCUCGUGCAAACUCGCAUCUGGAUACAUUUUUUUUCCUCUUUUCUU
This 138-nucleotide non-coding RNA is filed under the name uncultured eukaryote. The record is from RNAcentral.